CUUUUCCUCGCGAAGAUUGGGAAAUUGCUGACUGAAUCUUGCAGUUCUGGUCAAGUCUUGCAGGUUGCAUUCUUGGGCAUGAUUUGAGUGGUGGAGGGGAUAGAAAGAAUAUACAAGAAGUGAACGAUUCUAUGUUUAUUGAUGAUGGAGAAGCUAUUGAUUUGCCUGAUGGCCUUGUUCAAUUUCGGAUGAAUCUUGGUGGAACUUUGCGUUGAUAUCUGUCAGAUUCUAGGCUCUGCUGCAUUCAGGCUAUCUCGAGCUACUGUGUUCAGCAUUAUAACUUCAUACUUUUUGGAUGCUCUUCUAGGCGUUGAUCUGCUCAGCUUCAACAACCUAAACAUUCAAGA
Molecule: long non-coding RNA, 347 nt
Organism: Coffea eugenioides
Lineage: Eukaryota; Viridiplantae; Streptophyta; Magnoliopsida; Gentianales; Rubiaceae
Exons: 3
Source: RefSeq, a predicted model, not a curated record